Molecule: long non-coding RNA, 1938 nt
Filed under: Musa acuminata (dwarf banana)
Lineage: Eukaryota; Viridiplantae; Streptophyta; Magnoliopsida; Zingiberales; Musaceae
Description: long non-coding RNA (MACU_LNC001649)
Source: RNAcentral
AGAGAGUGUGUGACUGUGUCCUUGGAAGAGGGAAAGGGGGGAAGAACUCGCUCGCCUCCUGUUCCUGAGUCGGAGAUGCCUCGCUCUGCCACUCAACGCGCUUGGCUUCCUCCUCUCGGUGCCCUCCUCCUCCUCCUCCUCCUCUUCGCUCGGCGUGCUGCAGCUGCACUAGAAGAUGGUACGCCUCCUUAGCCUUCCGCUACAUCGGGCCUUCUUUCUUGGGGUUUCCGUUAAGGAACAUCUCCUGCCUCUUGCAUUCUUAGAGAAGCAUUUGUGAGAUCGCUAUGUCUUAUGAUGCUGUUUGUUUCUUUUACGAAUAAUCUGUGCUCUGGAGUUGCUUCUUCUUUCUCCUAGACUCUGCUGAGCCGGGAAGCAGCCUCUUCUCAGGAUUCCUUUAGAGUCAGUCGUUAGAAGAAAAAGAUGAUAACAGUGACUCCCGGAGAAGGAAAGCUCGAAAACGACCAUGGCAGCGAAAGGAGACGCCUCUCCUAAACCCUACUCCCGACUGCUUCAUCCCCAUGGAAGUAGUUUGCGUGUCGUAAUCGAUCAGAGUCCCCGUAGAAAUCCACAGCGCGGCGUCCACCACGGUGAAAGGUGAUCGGCAUCCUAAGAUCGCUGAGGUCGAGAGUUAGAACUAAACUAUAUGGGUCCUACUUAAUCAGAUCGAUUGUCUACAACGUGUUAGAACUAAACUAGUCAUCAGGUCAGGUCAGAUUGCUUUCAGAAGACUAUGUUGACGCCCCAACAAAUAUUUUAGAUAGCUCUUUCUCUUCCUACCUUCCGUCGCUAUCAUCCCAUUUAGUACAGAAAUCAUAGCAGUGCUCUUUUCCUUUUGCCUCUCGCUUUACCGUACCUUUGAUGCUAAAUCAAUUCGGGUGUUGCGUUGUCUCGCGCGUGUGUUACGCCAACUUAUUACCUUCAUGUGCAUUCAUUAUUAGAUUGGGACCGCGUGAUCCCACGGAAUUAUGUGGAGUAAUAAUAUCACUAGAUCAACACCCUACCAAACAAAAUACUCAUACAAGAUUUUGAUGGUGAGAUGAAUCGAUUCACUGUGCGGGAGUGGGAAGCUCUCACGGCGGUCGCGUGAGAAAUGGGGGGCCCAAUCGCCCAUGUGCUGGCACAGGUCUACCUUACCUGCUUGUUUUAUCUUGGUUGCCGAUUGACCCGAGGUUUGGGUUGGAACUACGAGCACCGUGAAAAGGGGAAGGGAUCAGACGCCGACGGAGAUGGAGCAGCAGCCUUUGGCUGCCCCUUCCUGUCACAAACGUUGGACCUGCUUCCGAUGCCCUCUUUCACGGCCAUAGUUGCUCGUGUCUAUAAACCUGUGCCCUUGAGUGUUUGUUUUUGCUUGCUUUUACUCAUCUCGAUGGGAAUAAUGACGCUGUGAUCACUCGUACCGUAGGUUUGGUUAACAACGGGGCCUUCGAGACGGUGCCAGCAGGCGGGGCCUCCGGUAGCGGCCUGGGGGAAGGUGUCGCUUCCCUGCCCGGGUGGACCAUCAAUGGCACGGUGGAGCUGGUGGAGUCUGGGCAAAAGCAAGGUGGCAUGAUACUUAUAGUCCCCGAAGGUAACAGAGCUACAGUGCCCCUGGUUUCUUUUGCCCGGUCUCAUCUCUGCUUUUAGUGUUUUCCCUGAACAGUGCUCCGAAUCCUUUUUCCCUAUGACACCGGUCCACUCCCUUUCUCGAGUUCCUAAAGCAUCCAUCUUUUCCCAUGGCCGUCACUCUUUAUUAGCUUAAGUUCCACUUCUCAUGCGAGAACAUUAUACAGAUAAGGACAUGCAUGCCAAUAGAAUCAUCAGGUCAUACACGGCACCAAGCGGGAUCACGUUCCUUGUCGAGUUGAGUUCUUAAUUGAACCUGAGGAUUUCCUUUCCGCGCUGACACAGUGUCAGUCGUGUUAGAGAAUCCUGUCUCUGUUUCACAAGCUUGCGGUCUAC